ACGUAGGUGGCAAGCGUUGUCCGGAAUUACUGGGUGUAAAGGGUGCGUAGGCGGGUAUCCAAGUCAAAUGUGAAAUCUAUGGGCUCAACCCAUAGACUGCGUUUGAAACUGGGUAUCUUGAGUGAAGUAGAGGCAGGCGGAAUUCCGAGUGUAGCGGUGAAAUGCGUAGAUAUUCGGAGGAACACCAGUGGCGAAGGCGGCCUGCUGGGCUUUUACUGACGCUGAUGCACGAAAGCAUGGGGAGCAAACAG
RNAcentral lists this ribosomal RNA (251 nucleotides) under uncultured prokaryote. RNAcentral's name for it is "partial 16S rRNA". It matches the Rfam family "Bacterial small subunit ribosomal RNA", at positions 525 to 775 of the family's 1533-position model. The record is from RNAcentral.